UCCUUCGCAGCGCAAAGGUAGCGCGACAGACUUCUAAUCUGUAGGUUCAGGGUUCGAGUCCCUGGAUGGAA
Seminavis robusta is the source of this 71-nucleotide non-coding RNA. The record is from the annotation of a GenBank genome assembly. NCBI's taxonomy places the organism in Eukaryota, Bacillariophyta, Bacillariophyceae, Naviculales, Naviculaceae.